Betta splendens (Siamese fighting fish) is the source of this 2811-nucleotide long non-coding RNA. RefSeq lists it as uncharacterized. Lineage: Eukaryota; Metazoa; Chordata; Actinopteri; Anabantiformes; Osphronemidae. The transcript has 3 exons. The record is from RefSeq and is a predicted model, not a curated record.
CCAAUAUCAAAUUGUUCAGCUUUUUAGGGAGAAGUGUGCUAUUAUUUUUCUCAUUCAUAUGUUUUAUAUUUUUCAAGUUAUUAAGCUUUUUUCAACUUUUUUCCCCAUUGAAAUGAAUAGAAGGAUUUCAAAUCCUCUUCAGCUUUGUCUACUUUCAGCUUUAACUACUUCAACACACUUUAAGCUACAGACACUAUUUAAACUACAAAACAAUCUUCAACUAUUCAACUAUUAAUGUCUUGUUUAGCAUUUUGAUAUCUUUAACAGAUUCUGAAUUAUAGCAGUUUAAGCAUAGGGGGGUUUUUGAGGAAUUCUCAGCUUUUCCAUUAGUGUGUAUUGCAUCUAAUUGAGUGGGGGAUGCCACAGCUAGAGUGAAGAGAGACGCUUUCUUACGCCAUAACUUUUCUCUUUAACUCGUCACUACAGCCACAGUUUUCACUCUAUCAACGUAUUUUCUUCACUAGUUUGUAGUCACACUUGUAUUCUUACCAACGAUGUGCCUGGCUAAGCCAUCAAAACUAUACUUUAGUCUGUAUCUGCCUCAAAGCACAGAGAGUUCCAGAAAUCCUCCCAUUCACUCCAAUGGAAAACACUCUCUGACAUCUGGGUAAAAUCACAGAGGGACAGGCAUUUUUAAAUCGCGACUGUGGCCACAAUUUUCAAUCCUCAAGCAUAAAACGCACACCAGGUGAUCAUUGAAGCCUUGGGAUUCAUAAAGUGAAGUUAUUUUUGUGAUAAUCUUUAUGGUUUUGGUGUAACAAGCCUUUUAAGCUGGGAUGGAAAUCAGCCUCACUCCAGCUCUUUGUGCUGAUCAGUGGAGGUUCCUGCCUGCUCCAUGGCAACGGCGCAGCUGCAGCAGAUAAGGGAUUGAUCUCAGUAGCACUUUGACUUACUUACUCCUAAUGCUCACAGCAGCUCUAUGCAUAUUAUUGAUGAGUUCAUUGCAUUGUUGAUUCCCCAUAAGAGAAGGUGUAGACAUUAAGCUUUUUUAAACUACCUGGGGCCCGUUUCAAGAAGGAGGUUUAACAAACUCUGAGUUAAAACGAAACUUUGAGUUGAUUUACUCUGAGUUUGCAAACCUGGAGUUUUCGGUUCCAGAACAGCUGAAAAGAGUUGGUUUAGGCAGCUCUGAGUUGACUGACUCAGAGUUAAGCGCGUGCACCGCGACGAUACAAAGCCCUGAUCAAUGGAGUGAAGAUAUUACGAGUCACCAUGGCAACAGGACAACAAAAUACGUCCGGAAAUGGAUAUGAUACCUCAAGCAUAUAACGACUACGAGUCUAUAUUCCGUAGAAAAGGCAACACGGCUGCAGCGGCGAAAGAGAAAGAAUUAGCUUGGAAGAAAAUAGCUCCUCGAGUCAAUGCGUAAGUUUACAAUUUAAUCAUACAGUGUUCAGCGUAACUAAAUACUAAAUAAUUUUAGUAUUGUUGUUAUAUUUCACUCGUAAAGUAAGGACUUGUAAAGUAAUUUUUCACUCAUCUAAGGAGUUACUUCAAUAAUUGCAUAAAAUACCGAUGUUUGUAUGAAUUAAAAGUGCAGUGUUAUGUCUAUGCAUUUUUUAAAUUCCUGUUGUGGUUGAUGUGGGAUUUGUAAAGUAAUGAUAAUUCAAUAAUCCAAUACGUUUUAUGGAGAGCAAUUAUUACAUUAAUCUAAUUAGGUUUUUAAAAGUUACCCAAAACACGUAAUAAUAUAAGAAAUUUAUUUCAGUUUUUAUGUAGACGCAAUCCUGCAGUCAUAAAAGAACAUGGCUAAAAAUGAAAUGUAAAAACAUAAUUCAAACAGUUAUAAGGCACCAUCAUGUCAUGGGUGUAGACUACCUGACUUUACAAUAUUUGACAUAUUAAAUAACUAAAUAGCAUGCAGAGUAUAGCAGUGCAGCAGUAUUUUCAACAUGGCUGUAAUGUUUUCACACAGUUAAAUCAUUUGACUUCUACUCAGCCAACAGAAAGAAGGCAGAGACUUGAACAACUGGUGGAGGACCUGCACCUCAACCACUAACGCAUGCAGAGGAGAAGGCCCUCAGCAUGAACACUGGAAAGCAGGGGCUGAAGGAAUUCCUGGUGGGAGUUCAUCAGAACCAGUCACUCCCCAGGAUACAAGUGCAUGUGUAAAAUAUUCUGAUGGUAAUAUGUGAAUCCUCCUGUCACAACAGAAGCCCAGGAUGUUAGUGUGAAAGAACAGCAGGAGGAGGUCAGUCACAUUCUGCUGCACAGAUGCACACAGUUCAGUGAUGUUCAGUAAAUGCCAGAGUUCAAUUCUAUAAGAGUAAUGGGGAACAUGUCAUGUCACGAUGUCAUGUAACGCUAAAUCUUCUGUAUUUUAAGUUACCGGUUACAGAGUUGUAUAAACGUAAUCUCAAGGAAAUGUUAUACUUGAACCACAAGAUUGAAAAGCCAGAUCUAGAAAUUGAAAUUCCCAAACACAAGCUGGAGAUGAGUGUAUAGUUAAGGGUGAAUUGUAUGAAUUAUUGGAAGAACCAUAAAAUCUAACAAUUGCCUUUGUAUUUGUAGGAAAUGAAAAAAAAAAACAAAUAAAUUAUGAUUUACAUCUAUUCAGUUUAUUUUAUUGGUGGUGGUGGUGAUGGUUGAUUAAGACAUUAAAGCAAAUCUGUCCAUCCACUCUGCAGAUUACUGUAAUGGAAGGAGUCUUCCUCAGGGUCUUGUAUUUGUAGGGCAGGGUCAGUAGUGUGGGCUGCCAUUAACCCUUAUCUCCAGCAGAAAGCCGUCAAUCUCUCCUAGAAGAAAGUUCACAUUACUUUAGUGCUGCAUAGAAGUGUUCCUGUGAGUGUGAGUGCAUGCAUUGAAAUAAGU